Molecule: unclassified non-coding RNA, 159 nt
Filed under: uncultured Leohumicola
Lineage: Eukaryota; Fungi; Ascomycota; Leotiomycetes
Description: sequence contains ITS1
Source: RNAcentral
CAGAGUUCAUGCCCUCCCGGGUAGAUCUCCCACCCUUGAAUACUUAUACCUUUGUUGCUUUGGCGGGCCGCCUCGGCUACCGGCUCUGGCUGGUAAGUGCCCGCCAAAGGACCCCAAAACUCUGAAUAUCAGUGUCGUCUGAGUACUAUAUAAUAGUUA